This 500-nucleotide ribosomal RNA is filed under the name uncultured bacterium. RNAcentral's name for it is "partial 16S ribosomal RNA". It matches the Rfam family "Bacterial small subunit ribosomal RNA", at positions 30 to 523 of the family's 1533-position model. The record is from RNAcentral.
AUUGAACGCUGGCGGCAUGCCUUACACAUGCAAGUCGAACGGCCGCACGGGAGCAAUCCUGGUGGCGAGUGGCGAACGGGUGAGUAAAGUAUCGGAACGUGCCCAGUCGUGGGGGAUAACGUCGCGAAAGUGAUGCUAAUACCGCAUACGAUUUAUGGAAGAAAGCGGGGGAUCGGAAGGCCUCGUGCGCUUGGAGCGGCCGAUAUCAGAUUAGGUAGUUGGUGGGGUAAAGGCUCACCAAGCCGACGAUCUGUAGCUGGUCUGAGAGGACGACCAGCCACACUGGGACUGAGACACGGCCCAGACUCCUACGGGAGGCAGCAGUGGGGAAUUUUGGACAAUGGGCGAAAGCCUGAUCCAGCCAUGCCGCGUGCAGGAUGAAGGCCUUCGGGUUGUAAACUGCUUUUGUACGGAACGAAAAGGUUUGGCCUAAUAAGCUGAGCUCAUGACGGUACCGUAAGAAUAAGCACCGGCUAACUACGUGCCAGCCGCCGCCGUAA